AUAGCUGCUUUGCCUCUGCUCGUGCUGAGUAGCACACCUGCCGUGAGUGACUGACCAACUUGGCCAGGCACAGAGGGCAGGAGGGGAGGGGCCUCGGGGUGCAGGGGGUGACAGGUGAGUUGGGGCAUUUUCCACAGUGCAUGCAUGCUGCAUUUUAUCUGAUGCUCACAGCUACCCUCAGAGAGAACCUGAGGCCCAGAGGAGUUGAGGGACUCCCAUUCAGUUCACCUGUGCUGGGCUUAGGUCCUUGGUGUCCAGGCUGCAGCCAUGGCUGGACCACUUGCUUGCCCUCCAAGGCUUUGGGAGGCUAUAGGGGGUGGCGGGAGGCCUGUGGGCCCAGCAGUCACCUGACCUGGGCUCAAAUCUCAGCCGGGCCAGGGACCAACAGUGUGACCUUGGGUCCUCCUUCGAUGGGAGGUUAAUCAUGCCCACCUCGCCAGGCUGUUGGGAGGCUCAGUGAGAGGCGGCGGAGGCCAUCUCCACCCCUGGAACUCUCAAGGGAGUUCUUGUGACUUUCACAAGUAACUGCUAAGUUGCUGUUGCUGAAUCAAAUUCCUGGAGAGCCAGGAAGUAUGUCUGUGGGUGGGAGAGACGUCUGGCACUUCCAGGGGGGCCCCAAGGCUUCCUUCCCACAUGCCUGCCUCCCCCAGCGCCUGGCAGCCCUUGAGAGGGAAGGUAACAGAGGGGCCCAGAGGGUCUGGAACUUACCAUGCCCCUGCUUCCUGCCCACUGUACCUGUCUGCACCCCUGGUUUCCCUGUCUGCAGUUCUGAGUUCAGUAAACGUGGUUUUACUUUCUUUAUAGCACCUGUCGCCACCCAAACUUCUCUGGAUUAUUGAUUGUAUUGUCACUAUUGUCUGCUUCCUCAUCCCCUCCUAGAGUGGCAGUCAUGGAGCAGGGACUUUGUUCACUGCUUUGUGUUGUUGACUGCUGUAGCUCCUGCACCUAGAGCAGUGCCUGGCACACAGCAGGAGUUCAGUCAGUAUUUGCGGCAGGAAGGAAGGAAGGGACAGAGGGAGGGAGAGAGGGUGGAAAUUGUGGGUCCUCUGUGGUCAGCCCUUUGCUGCAAUUGGGGAUGUUGCCUUAGGUUAGAGCCCAACCCUGCUGACAGAGGCUUCCCCUCCAGUGCCAGAGGCAGACACAGACACAGACAGUGACUGUGGGUGUGACCAGCACUGCGACAGAGGGAAGGAGGCACUCUGGCUGGGGAAGCCAGGGCAGAUGGCAUCUGAUCUGCUUCAAGGAUGCUCAAAGGCUCCUGACUGUGGAGAGCUAAAGCUGCCAGGAGCUGCCUGUGCUUGCCAAGUGGUUGCAGAUGUUUCCUCCCUACUGCUCUGACUUUGCCAGGUGAGCACAUUCUCCUGUCUGAGCUGGUAUCUCUGUCUCUCUCUGUUUCUGUCCCUCUCCUGAGAGAGUCUAGCCUUGGGGUCCAGGCCUGGCCUGGCCAGGGUGGCCGUGGGAUCUUGGAGCAGCCACCACUCCCCUUUCUGAGCCCAGGUUCCUCCUCAGAUGCACAGUGGGUGGGUCGUUAGCGCCUGGAAGGCCUCUCCUCCAGGACCUGGUGUUUUCACAGACGAAACAGACUUCAGAGCUAAUGCGUGCUUUGGUAUCUUCCAGCCAGGAGACACUGCUCAAUGGCCCCAGGAGGGGCCCAGGAAGGAUUCAUUCCAGCCUUGCUGGGGGUGGGAUCAGGUUUCUGGUCCUACUCUAGCCAGGUGGCCAUGGGGGAACCCUGAAGCCAGACACAUAGAUUCUGGUCUCUCACACACUCUCUUGGUGACCUCAGCAAGUUUCUACCUCUCCCCAGACCUCAGUCUUCCCUUUUAUAAAAUGGUUAUAAUAGCACCAGUCCCCUCUCUGCAGAGACAGGAGCCCUGCUCCUCGUCCCGGAUCUGGCAUUGGCUCACCUUAGGCAAGUCUGUUCCCUUUUUGGGCCUGUCUCCCCAUGUAUAUGUUGAGGGGUUGGACUUCAGGGCCUGUGAGAGGCCUUCCAACUUAGACUUUCUCCCCAGGAGCAUAAAUUCAGUGAAUCUACGUGACUCUCAGUGAUGGCAUCAUUGCCUAAUAUCCACCCAGCUUCUGCUUGAAAACUUCCAGAGAACUCCCCACAUCUCCACGGCUUCCUUCUACCUUCAGGUAGCAGGAAGUUCUCCCUCACACUGUACCUUUCUUCCUACAUCACCCAACCGCUGGGGUCAGUUCUGCCGCCACAGAACUCCAAACAAUUCAAUAGACCUUAGGUACUGGGCACCCUGGCCAGGCCUCAUGCCAGACUCCAGGAUCAUGGAGGAACCAGUGUUGUCCAGCAAGGACUGGACAGGCAUAAAGUCCUGUAGCUCUGUCUGACUCCAGACUCAAUAAUAAUCCCAGCUGCCACCGAUAGCCCCUUCUGGGUGCCCAGCCCUGCUGCCUCAUCAAAUACCAGCAAUAUCUACCUCACUGAAUCCCCACAACAACCCUGCCAGAUAGUAACUCUCAUCCCCAUGUUAUAGCUGAGAAAACUGAGGCCCACAGCAAUUAGAUAUCUUCCCAAAGGUCACACAGUUGGUAUGCGUGGAGCCUGAUUAAAACCAAUGUGGCUACUAGCCUCUCACUGGGCUCUGCUGCCUCUUGUUUGUCUCUCUGUUCCUGGCGUGCCCAGGUUUGGGGGCAGCCUCCUUCCACAGCCUCCUCAGAGCCAGCCCCUGGCUGCUUGUGCAUUUCCUAAGGCGAGGAAGCCCGGGCAGGAGGGUCCCAGGGAGGAUGGAGAGGAGACGGUGGGCCUGAACCCAGGGCUCAUGACCUGUGCCCUCUGGAGGGAUUCCAGGUAUCACCAGCAGCCUGGGGAGGUACACCCUUGUGUGGGGAGGAGGAACUCUUCCCAGCACCCUCAAAUUAUCCCUUAAAAUUAGCCUUGGCUGCAGUUAGGCUGGCAGUGGGCGAGGCCCUGGUCUGGGAGCCCAGAGUCUAAGCUGUAGUUUCAGUUGACCCCCUGAUGGUCAGUGUGACCUUGACCUUGGAUGGGGCCCUUCCCUUUUGGGACUUCAGAUUCCCUAUUUGCAGACGUGAAGAGGGGACAAGAUCUCCCAGCAACAUGCAGUGGCUGGAGCUGAAUCAAACCCUGUGUUGGUCGGAUCUAGAAGGGCGAAUGUGGUCAGAAUGUUCUCCCUCACCCCUCCCAGGUCUCUUGGCUGCCCUGGCUGGGCCCACCCCACAUCUUCGCAGUGGCAUGUCCUUUCAUUUAGGAAAGGAGUUUCCUUAGACAGGCAGACAGUGAUGGGGUGGGAGGCUUGGAAAGGGAUGAGAUCAGUGUGGCCCAGCUCCCUGCUGGAGUGGUGAACAGAGAGUGUCCUUGGGUCACACAGAUCAUUAACCAGCUGUGUGACCUUGAGCAGAGCUCUUAACCUGCUUGAACUUCGGUUUCUGUAUCUGUAAAACAGUGAUAAUAAUAGUACCUACUUUUGAAGGUUAUUAAUAGUGAGGAUAAAAUAAGGAUUAAAGGGAAGUGUGUCUAAAACACUUGGCGCAGAGCCUGGUAUGUAGUCAGCACUCAGAAAGUGUGGCCUUGAUGACAACAAUGAUGAUGGUGAAGAUGGGAAUGAGUGGGGAAAGGAUGGCGACAACCGUUGCGUUGAACAGUAUGAGACGCUGCUCAGCCUUCUCCGACAUACUGGGUACUUCCAUGCUUCCAGGCUUCACACUUGCCAUUUCUUCUCCCUUGCCAUCCCCCAAGACUUCUUCCAGCACAAAUGCAUCCUAAGUAAUGGAGUAACCAGGCCCUGUGGAUCUGAGCCUGGAGGAGCCCGGGGGCAGAUUAGAACCCAAUGGCUGUGCUCUGCAUGAGGUGGGAGCACCAGACUUGGAGGAAUUAAUAGAAGGUUUCCCAGGGGAGGCAGAGCUUAGCUGGAGUCUUGAUGAAGGAGUAGGAAUUGGCUGGAAGAAGAGAAUAGGAUUUCUUUUUUUCCAUUUAAAGCAGUCCAGGCAGAUGAAAUAACACGUGCAAAAGCAUAGAGGUGUGAAAUAGCAUGUUGAGCUUGGGAAACUGCAAGAAGCACAAUAUGGUGCGAGUGGGGAGAGGGAGAGAGGAAGACGGAAUGGGGAGGAUGUUUGGGGUGGAUCACGAAGAGCCUGUGUGCUACACCAGAUACUCAAAAUGUGCCUUGAAGGUGAUGGGGAGUUAUUCUUUUCAUCAUGCGACAAACAUUCCUGAGGACCUACUUGACCCAAGACAUCUUUGUAGCGGGCACUGCGAUGUGCUGCCAAUGCCUGUGCCUCCUACCCCCACACCUCCGCUGCUGAGAGUGCUGAUGGCAGGCAGCUUGCAGGUGAGACUCCUCCCACCACCGUCAUUGCCUCCUCACCUAAUGCCAUGGUCCCUCCAGGGCCAGCCUGCAUCCAGAGACUGGUUCACAUGGGGGUAUAAAAGCCCAGGCCCCUUGCCCCAACUUGGGACAACUAUGAAGAGUUUCCAGCUCCACAGCUCCCUGAGGGGCUGGCCGAGGCCUUUGUGGGGUUUGCCUCACAACCCAAUUUAUCCCUCUGGCCAAUUCUGCUUCAAUCACUCCCUGCCAGGUGUUGACCUUGAAUGUACUCCCCCAAUAAACCUCCUGCAAGCAAA
This is a long non-coding RNA of Homo sapiens (human), 4597 nucleotides long. RefSeq lists it as uncharacterized. The transcript has 2 exons. The record is from RefSeq and is a predicted model, not a curated record. NCBI's taxonomy places the organism in Eukaryota, Metazoa, Chordata, Mammalia, Primates, Hominidae.